This 692-nucleotide unclassified non-coding RNA is filed under the name Hevea brasiliensis (rubber tree). Lineage: Eukaryota; Viridiplantae; Streptophyta; Magnoliopsida; Malpighiales; Euphorbiaceae. The record is from RNAcentral.
CCUUGGAAAGAAAGGUCGGCUUGGAACUGCAGUGUAAAGCUCAGCUGGCCAAUAUGCGAUAAAAUUAUCAUGAUCUUUAUGUUUAGAUUUUCCAGCAUAUGCAAUCCUUUGAUUGACCAUAAAAGUAGCCAAUGCCUCCCAACAUAUUGGCAAUAGCAACCUUACCAACAAUUCUGGAUUCAGAUUCAAGCUUGCCAGCAAUAUUAAAGCACUGAUCAAACUUGGCAUCGAAUUCUGAUUGCUUCUCUUGUAGUUGAUUUGUCAGUAUGGUGCCUGUUAGACUGUUUACACGUGCUUUUACUCUUGAAUCUUCUACUCCAGUUCCAGACACAAAAACAAUAUCUGUUUUGAAUGGAAUCCUAGCAGAAAUCUGAAAAACUAAGAUAUUUGAAGAAUCUUCGGAUGAGUCAGGUAGCUGCAGGCCAAACUUUCUUACUUGGGCCCCAAGAGUUUGCUGGACAAGAUCAGAUAAAUUGUGAAUAUGAGGUGUCCUGAAGCCAGAAUAGUGGAUCUCCAAAACAUCCUUAGAUUCUAAAUGUAGCUGCCAAUCUCCAAUGUCUGAAUGUGAACCUGAUGCCAGAAGAGAAUUCUCAUGUAUGUCUAUUUUAUCUUUUGUCAAACUUAGAGCACUUCCGUCUUCAUUAGUCAAAUAGAAAAACAAAUGCCCAUUUUGCAGCAUUUCUUUGUUCCAG